This 1323-nucleotide long non-coding RNA is filed under the name Brassica rapa (field mustard). RNAcentral's name for it is "long non-coding RNA (BRAP_LNC004540)". Lineage: Eukaryota; Viridiplantae; Streptophyta; Magnoliopsida; Brassicales; Brassicaceae. The record is from RNAcentral.
CUAGAUAUGUCUUUUGGUCUUGUCUGAGUCCCUGAUCUGGUUUUGGCUUCAUUUAAAUGAAAGCCUAAUAAGAAAUAAAAAAUUGUUGAAAAAUGAUCAUCAUCAAAUGUGACUUGACCACUCCUCAUGGAUCACAGUAUUGCGCCUAGGAAUUUUUCUUAUAUGUCUGCCGAUAGCUUUAGAACUUGUUAGAAAGUAGAAACUAAUGAGCGUGUGAAUCUUACACGUACAGGAGAAGUUGCUGAUAGAAGAGAAUCUGGUUCUAGCUAGCAAGGUAACAGAGGUACACUCUAUUGUAUAUAAGCUAAUUAAUCCCUUAUAUAUGUAUAAAUAGAUAUAAAAUUCAUGACUUCGAAUUCGAUAGAUGCUAGACAAUUUUGAGUGAAACACAUAAUUUAAGUUAUUUAGUAGCGGUAGGAAAAAAGUUCAAGGACUGUUGGAUUUAUACUGCACAAUUAUGUGUAUGAAUGUAUUAAACUGAUUCUUUAUUACAGAAAUUUAGAAUGUUUGAUACAUAUAAAAAUGGCAAAUCUCCAAAAUAGCACCUUUCUAAGUUUAUAUCACAAAAAUAGCACUCAAAAACUAAAAUGACCAAAAUAGCAUUUUAUCUUUUGAAAAUUUUAAUUUUUUUUUAUUUUUUAAAAUUUGAAAUCUUAUCCCCAAAACCUCAUUUCUCAACUCUAAACCCUAAAACCUAAACUCUAUACCCUAAACCCUAAAUUCUAUACCCUAAACCCCACCCCUUGAAUGAUAUUUUUGUGACUUUUGGACUUGAGUGCUAGUUUGGGAACAAAAACUUGAUUUAGUGCUAUUUUGGUCUUUUUCUCAUAUAAAAAUUAUAGAAGUUUUAAAGAAAUCAAUGAUUUAGUUAAGAAGAAUGCAUUUUACACAUAUAUAUUAUCUGUAGAUGAUAUAAUGUAUAAAUUUCUUACAGAUUUGGAAGCAGACGUUCCUAGUAACACGGGAUGAGACAUCAAUGUUACCGGAAUAUAGAUUCGGUAACAAUCCACCGGAGACUCUCUCGCUGCUCAAGUAACCAUCAUCAUCAACGGCUCUGAGUUUUCACCUUAACUCAAAGCCUGAUUCAGAAUUAGAAAUAAAGAAAUUUGUAAUAUCUGCAUAAUCGCAAACCUUUUUAUAUUCCUCUAAUGUCGAAGUCAAGGCAAAACAAACAAACAAACAAACGGGGAGCUCUCUUUUUCUGAAACUAAAGAACUGUAUAACUAAGAUGAAGGAAUCGAUAUUUGUUGUACCUUUGCAGACAAGAUCAGAGUUCAUGUGUUUGUGUUCUUGUCUGAAAGCAGGGACGGAUCUAAAGCUUUU